Long non-coding RNA from Mercenaria mercenaria, 3802 nucleotides. RefSeq lists it as uncharacterized. NCBI's taxonomy places the organism in Eukaryota, Metazoa, Mollusca, Bivalvia, Venerida, Veneridae. The transcript has 2 exons. The record is from RefSeq and is a predicted model, not a curated record.
CUUUUUUUUUAACUUGUUAGUGAAUUUAAUUUUAAGUCUUAUAUAAUGUACUACUAAGCUUGCACCUUAUCCCCACUUGUAUACACUUUUACCUCACAAAGGCAUUUAGAUUCCAUUUUUGUAUGGGCACCCUGAAGAUUUUAUAUACCACAUUUCUAAUAUCAAGUUUGGCUUGUCACCUUUGUCUUUAGUCUGUGUAUUAUCUGAAAAAAAUAUAUAUAUAAAUUUAUGUCACUUUGUUUCUCUUUAGAUAAUCGGAGCCAAGAAAGACACUGAAAGAAAUGUAUACAGAAUUCAUGUAGUCAAAGGUUAAAAGGAACUUGAAACUUACCACUUGAAAAAUGUGAUAAAGAGAUAUCAUAAUACAGUCAUAUAAUUUUCAUUUCCCUUCCAGUUGCCCUCUCAAUAUUGCUGAUUCCCAAAGUGUUGUACUUGUUGUGAAUUACGUCUGGUAAAAAUUGUUCCAGCCAUUCGAUGUAAAUGAAUUAGACCAGCACUUGCAUCACAGAGCAUUGUCAUGAUUAUUAUACAAAAUCUUUUACACUUUCAUUUUUUUAUCCCCCGCCGAUGAAAUCGGGAGGGGGGUAUUGAAAUGGCGUUGUCCGUCCGUCAGUCCGUCCGCAGCCAUUUCUCAGUAACUACUUGGUAGAAUUUCAUGAAACUUGAAAUAAACAUGAACCAACAUACUGCGAUGAUGCCCGUCAAUUUUUUUUUUUUGAUUGGUCAAUUUCCCUCAGAGUUAUUGCCCUUGAUUUAAUAAAAAAUGUCCAUCUGCAGCCAUUUCUCAGUAACUAACAGGUAGAAUUUCAUCAAAUUUGAAAUAGACAUGAACCAAGAUACUGUGCUGAUGCCCGUCAAGUUUUUUUUUUUGAUAGGUCAAUUUCCGUCAGAGUUAUUGCCCUUGAUUUAAUGAAAAAUGUCCAUCUGCAGCCAUUUCUCAGUAACUAGCAGGUAGAAUUUCAUCAAACUUGAAACAGACAUGAACCAAGAUACUGCGACGAUGCCCUUCAAGUUUUUUUUUUGAUUGGUCAAUUUUCCAUAUAGUUAUUGCCCUUUAAUUGUUUAAAAAUCCACAGAUCUGUACAUAACAAACCAACCAAUUGGAAGAAUUUCAUUAAACUUCUUUCAUUCUUUUCCAUGAACAUUUAUUAUAAACAUGUGAUGUUGUGUACCUACACCUGGUCGCCACUUACCUUGGUCCCCCCCCCCUACCCCCCAUUUUUUUUUUUUUUUUUUUUUUUUUUUUUUUCAUUUUUCAUUUUCUAUCAAUAUUUAUAAUCAACAUGUAAACUGUUGUAUCCUCACCCCACCCCCCCAGCCCCACCCAAACAAACCAUUCAUUUUCUUUUAAUUUGAUUUUGACUAAUGAAAUUGUUUGCUUCUUGGUAACAUUCUUAACUUUUUGCUGGAUAUAUUUUUUUGCCAUUCAUGAACUCUGACCCUUUCGGCGGGGGAUUCCAAUUCAUUGAAUUUGCUUGUUUUUUUACUUUUUAAAAAGCUCAGUGGCUCAACUUUUGUUGUUAUUGUCUCUUGCAUUUCAGACUCAGUUGACCUUUCUGACAAAGGUUAAAGGCAUUGAUCAGUAGAGUAGUCCUUAGUGCUGUAUUUUUAACCAGGUUUUCAACGAAAACCUGAGUUACUAGAUUGGGGUAUGUCGUUGGUCGGGCGGGCGGAUGGGCGGGCAGCGGCGUCAAACUGGUGUUUCCGGUCAAUAACUUUUGUUUUAUUAAAGAUAUUUGAAUAAAACUUGGUAUGUAUGUAGCUUAUAUCAAGACAAAGGCUGGGAUUGAUUUUGGGGUUUCUGGGGUCAAGGUCAAGGUCAAUGUUACUUAAAAUAGAAAAAGGGUUUCCGGUCAAUAAAUUUUGUUUCGGUAAAGAUAUUUGAAUAAAACUUGGUAUGUAUGUAGCUUGUAUCAAGACAAAGGCUGGGAUUGAUUUUGGGGUUUCUGGGGUCAAGGUCAAGGUCACUGUUACUUAAAAUAGAAAAAGGGUUUCCAGUCAAUAACUUAACUUAGGAAUGAGCUAUCAUGAUGAAACUUGGUGUAUAGAAAACUUAUAUAAAGUUGUAGCUUUGGAUUGAUUUUGGGGUUUUUGGGAUCAAGGUCAAGGUCAUUGUUACUAAAAAUAGGGUUAGGUUAGGGUUAGGGUUGUGGUGCACUGUGAUUCAGUACACUUUUUUAUUCUUAUGAAAAGUGUUGAAAACCUGGUUUCGUGGCAUUGCCGCGUUUCUUGUUAUUGUAUAGAAAGACUGAUUUGAAUCAGAAUAUAAAUGAUCGAGAAACAUGAACUUUGAUAGUCAUUUCAGAACUUUUUACUUUCAUUAAGGUGAAUGAACAUUUUACUUUCAUUAAGGUACAACUAUGAAGGUUGUUCUCUUGUUCUGGAUUGUACAUCUAGGAUGAUUAUUUUCCAUUACUCAAAACAAUAUUUUUUACCUUGUAUAUUUCGCCUUAUCGCACAGCCUUUAUCAGCAAAGUGCCAAGUCAGUGUUACAUAGCGUCAUGUUACAAUUGGUGAUUACGUAACACUAGGAGAGUGUUGUAAGCUGGAGGUAACUCCAGCCCCUCAUCCCGGUUAAGUGAUCAACAAUUGUCACGUGACACUAUGCAACAGUGACGAGGCACUUUGCUGACGAAGGCUGUGCGAUACGGCCGAAAUAUACAAGGUAAAAAAUAUUGUUCUGAGUAAUGGAAAAUAAUCAUCCUAGAUUCAUUAAGGUAGUUCUGCAUGGAUCAAAAUUUUUUAUAUAUUGUAGAAUGUGAUUAAACUCUAAUUUUUUAAAACUUAAGAAUAUAUUUAGAAAAUUUGGCAAAUAAAAAAGAUAGGAUGGAGUGCUUGAUUUUGAUCUUAAAGAUUUGGACCUCACAUGUUUUCUUAAUAUGCAGCUAUGGAAAACACGGUUUUGAUCACUUUUUUGAUAAUAGAAAUUUUUCUGUAAUGAAGAAUUUAAAAUUCUCAUAGUUGUAAGUAAAUAAUGGUGUGUGAUAUGAUGAAAAAAAAUGUACAAAAUAUAUUGGUCCCCAUGCUUGUUUAUUUAGGUAUUUGUACAUAUUUAAAGAGAUCUGCACAUUACACGCUGGUUUUAAGACAUUAUUUAAAUUCGAAGGUUUUAAUAUCAUAUGUCCUUUUUAGAAAGAUAGUAACAUUGCGGUUUAAAUAUUUACUCACAGGUUGCCAUUUAUUCAUAGAAACAUUUCUCAUUUCCAUAUACCCAGUCCAGGUGUUAUUCUAUGUUAUCAUGAUGUUACGCCAUUACUUCUGGUUUAUCAGACAUGCAGAACUACCUUAAAAUUCAUUGUCACAGUGUCCAACCAUUCCUAUUGUCACUACACACUCCAGUGCACCAUUUUCAUAUAAAUCCCUACUACCUUCCAUUUAUGUGAUUGUAAUGAGUAUGUACAAGUGUUACUGUAGAUUUCAUUUCUCUCUUACCUGGUAGAAGCCCCAGACAUUUCAGGUGUAGAUAGCCAAUCUUUUUUAUAUUUUCUAGAAACUGUAGAAAGUUUUUCAUGAAAGAGUAUAAUGCCUUUCUGUGUGUCAUUAACCUACUUUUGUCAAAAAGAUUGGUUCUUGAUAAAAUAUGACUAUACCCAUAUUAACAUAGUAUGAAUUUUCUAUUUCUAAUACCCAGGUGAGAGACUCGGAGUCCAUUUUGGACUCUGGUACUUAGUAAUAUUGUAAAUGUUUUUAAUGUUUUAAUUUAUUUCAAGGAAUGAUUGUCAGUAGAAAUUUGUUAAAUGAUGAAAUUUGGGAGUAUGUUUUCCAAUGUUAUAUUAAUGUUCAAUAAAUAAUUUCUAUUUUA